AUUCGUUGAAAACUCCAUUUAUUUUUAAUUUAAUUUAUUUGUGUACCAGCAGACUCUUCUUUUUUAAAUUGCUCCAAUUGAGCAGGUUAACAGUAAAACCAUGCCUUAUGCAUUGCGGGUGUAAUUUGAAAACUUCGGUCACACCACAGGGAAUAAGAUUUUUCGACUAGUGAAACUCUUAGCCGAUUUGAGUAACUAGGUUUUAAUGCUUUACUAUAUGGAAAUAAUAGUCUGUUUAGACAGAAGGUUUUUUGCAAAGCCUUAGCACAGCCUAUUAAAAUCGAUCUAGCAAUUUUAAACGGAUUCUUGUUCACAUAGAGCAUUGCUAAGGCCAACAGCUGAUCGGCAUAAACAAACCGUGACCGAAAGGAGAUUACGUGCAAAUUGAGUUUUUCCGCCAAAAAAAAGGGAAAACAACGCAAAACAAAUAACAAUUUGAAUUAGCAUGCUAAACGUUUUCCGGGCCAAAAUUUCGUCCGAAGGUAUGUAACAGGUAGGAAGCUUUUUCGACCCUAUAAUAUAUAUUUUUUCUUCAUAAGGAUCACAAGCCGAGUCGAUCUGACCAUGUCCGUCUGUCUGUCCUUCCAUAUAAAGGCUGAGAAGUUGGGACUUGGUAUGUGGAUUCUUAAGCUUCUUGUGCAGCGCAAGUUUAUUUUAAUAGAGUGCCACGCCCACUCUAACGUCCACAAACGCUUAUAGCACUAAAACCUGUCAUGUCACUUGCACCAUGGGUGAAUUCAUGUAUUACUUUUUAAAAAUGUCAUCAAUACUUUCAACAGGUAGGAAGCUUUUUCGACCCUGUAAUAAUAUAUUUUCUUUAUAAGGAUCACAAGCCGAGUCGACCUGACCAUGUCCGUCUGUCUGUCCUUCCAUAUAAAGGCUGAGAUCUCGGAAACUAUAAAAGCUAGGAAGUUGGGACUUGGUAUGUGGAUUCUUAAGCUUCUUGUGCAGCGCAAGUUUAUUUUAAUAGAGUGCCACGCCCAUUCUAACGCCCACAAACGCUUAUAGUUCUAAAACCUGUCAUGUCACUUCAAUCAUGGGUGAAUUCAUGUAUUACUUUUUAAAAUGUCAUCAAUACUUUCAAUACCAAAAGAAAAAAAAGGAAAGUCCUUUUUAAAUUAUAAAACGCAUACAUUUUUACAAAUUUAAGUUUUAAAUUGUGUUAUUUAGUGUUACGAACUGCUUAUUUUCGGUGGCAGUGCCGCUAGCUCAGUCUUAUCUCAGUGGCAGGGUACCCCUAACGCAACAUAAAUAUCGAUAACUCCGCGGUCUCUCAUUACCAAACUAUCGGUCAUCACUAAGAACAAAAAACGUAAACAAAGGUAAAUAUCUACAAACAUUGACGGAAAAAUGGAUUAAAUUUGGUGGCUAUCGAUGACCUAGCCAAGCGCUCCCACCCAACAAUGGAUGCCCUCAAGAUGCUGCAGGGCACCACCCAUUCUCUGUCGGCAGGAACCCCUCCUCGCGACUUCGACGGUUCCAUCUCUCCCAUUGGGAAAACUCACUCACACAUUGUGGGUUUUACAAAUGUUUUAUAAAUAUUCCUUUAAGACCGAAUACUUGGCCGCCGUCUUCAAUACUUACGCGGUCAAAGCAGAGGAUUUGUUUUGCUGGAAAAAAGAGUACAGGCGCCGCGGAAAACUAUGCUCCACCAGUCAUGUAUUUGUAGAGAUCGCAUGGAAACACGGUCCUGAAAAGAGACAUACGCAAUGCGCGUGUGUAUGGUCACCUAAUCCUGAGGAGCUCCAGGGGAAAAGAAAGGACAGGCCAAAAAGGUACGUAACUGCACUGUAAACUAUACCAUCUAACUAAUGCUCGCGACCUUUUUGAUUCUCGGCAAACGACGAGGACAAAUAAGGCUCUCGAGUCCAAAUCCGGAUAAAUUCACAAACAGGGAAGUAAAAAAGCCACUAUUGGGCCGGGCCUGGAGGCGAUGAUAGUCCGAGCUGAAGACUUCUCGCUUGAGGCCAGCAGCGAUACGGUUCUCCAAGAAAGAAAACUGGCGCACUACGGUGAGUUGUGCAAGGGCAGUCGGAGGUUCGGCCGCCCGACAAAAUGGCGGUACUUCUCAACGCCGCGAUGCGACGGCUGGAAGUUCUCGAGAUGAGGCGGACGUAGUAGACCGGAACGGAUUCACCGGGAAAUGAUUGAUGUCGUCGGCGUCAACUGGGAAAGGCGUUUAUGGCUGGUCGUCCUUGCGGGUCGAACGGACACCGGUUGCUGGCAGCCAAGUCGGGGCUGGUACGUAUGGCGAAGUCGCGCAGAUAUCAGUAGAACUCCCAAGUAAAUAUCCCUGGGCCCUUUGUGUUGGGACCCCGGCUGCCUUUAUAAAUGAUUAUUAAUAAAUAACGAGCUACCAUGUA
Long non-coding RNA from Drosophila subpulchrella, 2363 nucleotides. RefSeq lists it as uncharacterized. NCBI's taxonomy places the organism in Eukaryota, Metazoa, Arthropoda, Insecta, Diptera, Drosophilidae. The record is from RefSeq and is a predicted model, not a curated record. The transcript has 3 exons.